AGCAUGUUCUAGAGCAUGAGAACAAAGAGAUGACUGAAAACAGUGUUUGUCCUCAUAAAGUCCCUAGUCCAGCAACAGAACUCAGUACCAGGUGGCCCGUGGCUGUCCGUCCCUCUCAGCCCAUUUGGAGGUGACUCUUGCUUCUCUCUUGAUGGAUCAGCUUUCACUGCCCACCCCCAGGGACAUGACCAAAGAGGUUCCUCCUCUCUACCCCUAAGCGGUGAGUCCAUAGGCUCCCUGGAGAGUUCAGUCAUCUCUUCUGGAGCAAGUCACCUAGCAGCAGUGAACCUCCAUUUCUUUAUCUCAAAAAUGGGAGUCAAUAAUCCCUGCCUUAUUGAUGUCACUGGAUUGUCAUAAAAAUGACAUCAUUAUGUAAAGGUCUUUGUAACCUGCCACGUACUCUAUAAUGAUGAGAUACUCCUUAUAUUAAACCAAAGAAAGAAAUGACUCUGCUAAAGAUGGAAUUUUAGACAUCAAAUUAGAACUGAGAGACACUCAAAGAUUCUGGACUGUCUUCUGAGCAGAGAAUAAAAAGUAGCUAUCAUCUGCCCACCACAGACAUGAAAAAACAAGAAAGACAGUUUGCAGAGAGGAGAGAAUGAAACAGGACUGUAGAGAGAAGCAGAGACAAGAAAUGGAUCUUCCCAUCUCGUCAUGAGCUUCCACUUCCAGGCUUUGAGUUCCUUGUAUCUAAUUCAUCUUUGUAACCCAGCACCUAGCACUGGCCUGAAAAGUAGGAGACACUCCAUACAUAUUUUUUGAUUGAAUCAUCAGGUUACUGCUUGGCUUAUAACUCCUCACUGGCUCCUGAUUGCCUGCGGAAUAAGAUUCACACUGUUUCAGCCUGGGCAACAUAGUGAUACUCCAUUUCUACAAAAACAUUAAAAAAUUAGCUGGGUAUU
RNAcentral lists this long non-coding RNA (902 nucleotides) under Homo sapiens (human). Its description in RNAcentral is "HSALNT0342724". Lineage: Eukaryota; Metazoa; Chordata; Mammalia; Primates; Hominidae. The record is from RNAcentral.